CACUAACAACUAAUUAAUUGGCUUUAAAAAAAAAAAAAAAAAAAAAAAGGAAGGAAGGAGACAGAUUCAAGAUAUUAAACUGAAUUGAGCCCUCUGGUUUUAUAGACUAGAAAACUGGAGACCAAAAAGAAAGGAACUGCCUAAAGUCAUACAAAGCUAUGACAAGAACCCACAUCUACUGAUAUAACCAUUACCUUCAUCUUAAUACAGAGGUAUCAAACACACUGGACCUCAAAAUUUUCAAACUACAGCUGAACUAGAUUAAAAUGUCAACAUUUUAAUUCACAAUUAAUAAGAUCUGAUUUUUCUUUCUCAGAAUGCCAAAUAUGAAAAUGUUUAGAAUAAUUGCACAUUUAACCAAAAAUGGAUUUCUUGCUAUCUUGGGGAAGUAGUGGGGAGAAACAUUUGGAACACAAAGUUUUGCAAGGGUAAAUGAAUAAAUGUUGAAAAAUAUCUUUGCAUGUAUUUGGAAUAAUAAAAUACCUUUAAAAUAAAUUUUAAAAUAUUUUUAAAAGAUCACAAAAUACAACAUAGGAAAUAUUAAUGUGAAGAUUUCUUAAGUCAAUAUGCUGCCUACAGGGAGUCUUUGAGUUUGAUACCACUGCAUUAUAUAUGUAACUAAAAUUAUACACAUACAUACAUAUAUAUAUAUUUAAAUGAAAUUGAAGCCAUCUUCUUACAGUGGAAAGAACACUGGAUUUGGAAUCUAAAGGCAGAUAAAUGUGCCUCUUGAACAUUUGACCUUAGAAUCUGGAGACCAGGAUUCAAAUUAUGGCUUCAUAACAUAACUGUGGGAAAGUCACUUCACCUUUUUGAGCCAGUUUCUUAAUCUAUAAAAUGAGAAUAAUAAUCUUUACAUGACCAAUAUCUUAAGGUUGUUUCCAGAAAAGUACUAUCCAAAUAUGUCCUUAGAGGUAUAGUGACAAAAGUUAACAUUUAUAAUAUUUUUUUAAAAUUACAAAGGACUUUAAAUAUAUCAAUUUGAUAUGACUUAAUUAUAGUUAGUAAAGAUGAUAUAUAACUGGAACAGCAAAUAGGUCUCUCAUGUUCAGAGUAAAGGAUGUACAUCGGAGUGCUGCAAUAAUUUAUGUGAAACUAAAGGAUUUAAGCAUAUCCUGCAGAUCCUUACAUGGAGGUCUCAGGGAAGGAGAAUCACACAGAAAGAGAUAUGGAGAGAAUUCAAAUCAAUAAACAUUUAUUAAAUACCUACCAAGUACAAAAACUAUGCUAGGGUCUAGGGAUUGAAAGACAAAAAUGAAUUACUCCCUAGUUUCCAGGACAGAGUUUCUUAACCUUUUUUUUUUUUUUUUUUUUGCAUCCUGCGCCUUUUGGCAAUUUGGAGUUUACAGACUUCUCAGAAUUUUUUUUUUCUUAACUUAAAUUAAUUAAAAUGAAGGUGUCAUUUCCCCCCCAAAAAAAAAUUCUAGUCCCCCUGAAAUUAUCUAGUCAUCCCAGAUUAAGAACCUCUAUUCUUGGAACUUCCAUUAUACAAUUACACCCCAUCCUAAUAAAAUCGUGGUUCCACUGAUGUAUAAAAUAAUAAAAUACAUACAGGACACUCACAGGAACUACCAAGCCAUUUUAUAAAUAACAAUUUCUUCUGCUUAGUGUGGUAUGGGACUUGAAUAAAGAAAACCUGGGUUCCAGUACUAGCUUUGAUACAUACUAGCUGCGUGACCUUAGCCAAGUCAUUUCACCUAGGAGCUUGGUUUCCUCAUCUGUAAAACGGAAGUAACUUUCUAAAAAGGGUGGCAAAGUACAGAACUGUUUCGGAUCGGCCUUUGGCAGAAGUUUCCUCAGAAAGAACUCCCCACACCGAUGAGAUCCCCAGUUCCUGACUCCCAAAAGGGUAAAAAAAAAAAAAAAAAAAAAAAAAAAAAAAAAAAAAAAAGGAUAAUCCUUUCAUUCUACCUCAGGAGGCGAAUUUUAAAAAGCAUAAGGAAAACCUUAAAACACCAAAGGGGUGAGAUUAGGUUUGUUUUUACGCCUUCCCACAUCCCCCGGCCGCCCCGCCCCCGCUAGUUAAUCCUCCCUUACAGGGUCCACUACCAAAACCCCGCCCCACCCCAGGCCGGCGCCGACAUCCAAGCCCGGAAGAAGCCCUCACCAGCCCUCGGGCGGUUACCCGCCACCUCAAGGGAGGGAAACGUCACAAAGUCCGUCGCAGUGUUGGGCUCCCAGCCCGGAGACUGCCGGGCCGGGAAAAGGAACCCCAGACGUCGCCUCAGGAGAACAUUCCUCAGUCGAGUGAAGAGCGGCCCGUGGAGCCACACCACCAACCUCCACCCAUCCCCCA
Antechinus flavipes (yellow-footed antechinus) is the source of this 2296-nucleotide long non-coding RNA. RefSeq lists it as uncharacterized. NCBI's taxonomy places the organism in Eukaryota, Metazoa, Chordata, Mammalia, Dasyuromorphia, Dasyuridae. The record is from RefSeq and is a predicted model, not a curated record. The transcript has 2 exons.